This 263-nucleotide ribosomal RNA is filed under the name Prymnesium parvum. RNAcentral describes it as "partial Bacterial small subunit ribosomal RNA". It matches the Rfam family "Bacterial small subunit ribosomal RNA", at positions 90 to 354 of the family's 1533-position model. Lineage: Eukaryota; Haptophyta; Prymnesiales; Prymnesiaceae. The record is from RNAcentral.
CUCGAGUGGCGAACGGGUGAGUAACACGUGAGUAACCUGCCCACAACUUUGGGAUAACGCUAGGAAACUGGUGCUAAUACUGGAUAUGUGCUCCUGCUGCAUGGUGGGGGUUGGAAAGCUCCGGCGGUUGUGGAUGGACUCGCGGCCUAUCAGCUUGUUGGUGGGGUGAAGGCCUACCAAGGCGGCGACGGGUAGCCGGCCUGAGAGGGUGUACGGCCACAUUGGGACUGAGAUACGGCCCAGACUCCUACGGGAGGCAGCAG